UCGCAGGGUGUUUUCCAUAAUAUACUAUGCAUACUACUGUGCACAAAGGAUGCUUUGAUUUAAUUUAUUAAAAUACUAACAGUUGUAUUUUGGUCCAUGUUCAAUUACCUGUCCAUGUUGCUAACUUAAAUAUAGUUUUUUUCUGUAGGUUGGCAUCGAUUCCUGUUGCUUCUGGGCAACACCGUUUUCAGUACUUCAAACUACGUUGAUGUUAUCUUUGCAGCAUGGGAGAACUUUUCAUAUAGUUAUUUUGGAACCGUGACACUAAUACCUGCAGAAACUUUUCACAGCUUUUUGGAAUUGUUAUUCUGGCAUAAAAUUUCAUCCCAUCAUCUGAGAGUUACGAUUCAAGGUGACAAAAUAAUUGUUUUAUUGUGUUGACUAUAAAAGCAAUAGGUGGUGAUCUCACUAUAUAUAAGCGAACUUCUUUGAUGAACUACAUGAUGAAUGAAACAAUACAGGUUAUUUCCUGAAUAAAUAUAGAACCACAUAUUCUUCA
Daphnia magna is the source of this 499-nucleotide long non-coding RNA. RefSeq lists it as uncharacterized. The transcript is spliced from 2 exons. The record is from RefSeq and is a predicted model, not a curated record. NCBI's taxonomy places the organism in Eukaryota, Metazoa, Arthropoda, Branchiopoda, Diplostraca, Daphniidae.